CGGGCCCGCGGCGGAGGUAUGGGUGAAGGACCGCGGCGGUGUGGAAGGCUUGCCCUCUCGCCGGCGGGCUCCGCCUAUCAUUGCGACUACUUAACGGACCAGAUACGCCCGCUGAAUUUAAGCAUAUAAAUAAGCGGUGCAAAAGAAAUCAACAGAGAUCGCCCCAGUAGCUGCGAGCGAAAAGGCGGGAGCCCAUCCCUGAAGGUCGGCCAGUUGCUGGUGCAGACCGGUGUAGGGUAGAAGCCGUCGACCAUGGAGCUGUGCAGGGCGCGCGAAGACGGGCUGUCAUGCCCGGACCACAGAGGGUUAGAGUCCCAUAGCGUGCCCGGCCUGCCCCGCCGGUCGGCGGUAGAGGAGUACGUAUGCUUGAUACUGCAUGCGGAAGACAGGUGGUAUGUACCAUCUAAGGCUAAAUUCUGUUGGGGAAGACCGAUAGCACAAAAGUACAGUGAUGGAAAUGUGCAAAGCACCCCGCAAGGGGGGUGGAAAGGGCGCCAAAGCGUUUAUGUGGAACCUGGCGGCCAGACGUGAGCCUAGGGAAGCGGGACCUGGUGCGGUUUAGCGGCCGCACCGCCGGGACCGUGUACCCCGAAGGGCAGCGGCGGGCCCUCCUGUUGGAAGCGGUUGUGCGGGCUGGUCGGUGCAUGUGCCUUAGUGCUAAUACUGCCCGGCUGUGAUCCCCGCCGCCAAGACAGGUGCGGUCAUCGGGGCUGGGAGGCGGGUUGGGAUGCGGGGCGAGUAGCGUGGAGGCUGGUCUCACGGGUCUGACCCUGGGCCGCUCCCCGCCAAAGCCCGCUCCCGGCCCACCACCUCUCGUGUCCUCCCGCCGUGACGCAGCGUCGCCAGACCCGUCUUGUAACACGGACCAAGGAGCGCGACUCACAUGCGAGGUGAAGGGGUCUCAUCCCUGGAGCCGAAACUAACAUGAUACGGGCUAACCUCAACAGGUCAGGCCCCCCGCUUAGGGGGGCCGCCUGGUGGGGGUCCCCCCGGCCCGGGUCGACGGCGCACUCGCGCCCAAGCCUGCGGUGUAGUAUGUGGGUUGCAACCCGAAAACCGACGAGCUAUACGUGAGUAGGGUGAAGCCGGGGGAAACCCUGGUGGAAGCCCGCAGCGGUUCUGACGUGCAAAUCGAUCGUCAAACUUGCGUAUAGGGGCGAAAGACUAAUCGAGUCGGUUAGUAGCUGGUUUCCCUCGAAGUGUCCCCCAGGAUAGCGGUGGCGCGUCUGAAGCAGCAUGCUCUAGAGAUUAUGAUUGGCGUUCUCGGGGGCUACGGCCCUUGGUCGACUCUCAAACUCCGAAUGUGUGCGCGCCUGUGGCUCCCAGCGGGCCGCGGGCACUUCGUUCUGCGCUGCUAGUGGGCCGUUUCUGGUAAGCAGGACUGGCGCUGCGGGAUGCACCGAAUGCGUGGUUAAGGCGCCGGAGGUACGCCCAAUCGUGUACCACCAAAAGUUGUUGUCGCAUGAAGACAGCUGGGCUGUGGCCAUGGAAGUCGGCAUCAGCUAAGGAGUGUGUAACAACUCACCAGCCGAAUGCGGCAGCGCUGAAAAUGGAUGGCGCUGAGCUGUCUGUUUUCGCCUAUACCACGCCGAGCGCCGCCUUUUAGGUGGCUGCUCGAGUAGAGGGACGCCCCGGCGGGGGAAAGGCUCGGCUUAGCGGCCGCAGUUGACCCGCCGGCGCUACAGAUCUUGGUGUUAGUAGCAAUUACACAAGCAAUAUCCUUGUGGUCUGACGCGGGGUAGGUUUCCGUGACAACAGUUGUUGUUCACGGGUCAGCCGGUCCUAAGCCCUCGGUGCAAACUCUGGACAGGGUUCGAAGCCACUCGUGCCUGGAUGCCGCCUCCUGCAGCUAGCCAAAGCGGGGAAGCGGAACAACAUCUGGUGCGUGGUCCAGCUGCAGAGCGUUGGGGGCGAAAGGGAAGCAGGUUAAUAUUCCUGCGCUCGCUGACUGGGCGGUGCCUAGGAGUAAUCCUUUGCGCCCUGCGUGACGCCUAGCGGGCCGCGGUGGAGAACUUUCUCUUCUCAUUAUGGCUGUCCCUCGCCCUGCGUAGGCGCGUCAAGCGCUGAGCAGGCUUGUGGCUGGCCUGAGAGCGGGCCAAUUCUGGCUCGUACUGUCGGUCUGAAGGGCCCUUGAAAAGCGUGGGAGCGUGCCGUGCCCGCCCAGCCCUGCGAACCGUACCGAUAUCCGCAUCAGGACCCCAAGGUGAGCAGUCUCUAGACUCUAGACCAAAGUAGGUCAGGGAAGUCGGCAACAGCGACCUGUAACUUAGGGAUAAGGGUUGGCUCUGCAGCUGUCGCGGCUGGAUGUGGUCUGUUGUGAACCGCUCUGAUUCUCGGACCGAGAGGCCCCCCAGCGGGGACUUGGAGUCUGGUGGCGGGGCGCGCUGAUCAGCGGGUCCGUGAGGGGCGGCGCAAGCUGCCCUUCUGCCGGUCGCAUUGUGGCGGCACCGCAGAACUGUUGCAGGCACAGCGAAUCUAACUGUCUAAUUAAAACAUAGGGUUCGGUUCUAGGGCGGAAGCCUGCGGGCCGGACCUGAUUUCUGCCCAGUGCUCUGGAUGUCAAUGUGGAGAGAUCCAACCAAGCUCGGGUAAACGGCGGGAGUAACUAUGACUCUCUUAAGGUAGCCAAAUGCCUCGUCAUCUAAUUAGUGACGCGCAUGAAUGGAUUAUUAAGAUUCGCACUGUCCCAACCUACUAUCUAGCGAAACCACAGCCAAGGGAACGGUCUUGGCAAAGAAAGCGGGGAAAGAAGACCCUGUUGAGCUUGACUCUAGUUUGUGUCUGCUGAGUGGGGCGCUUGGUGUAGCAUAGGCGGGAGGCGCAAGCCGACCAUGAAAUACCGCCCCUCGCACGCCUGCUCGGCUAACCUAAUUAUAUCUACAAGCGGGCGGCCUGGCCGGGUUUGUUCCCGCUGCUGGGCGCGCCCGUCUUCUGGUGCACGAGCCGGCCACACCGUAGCCUCCUGGGCUCAGAAGGCUUGGCAGACGCUGGCGGACCCGCGUUGGCGGUAAGCUCCGUCAGUAGCCUCGCUGGAUUUGCCCGCCUGGCGGCGGCGGCCUCUGGUCGGCCUAGUGAGACGUUGGGGACCCACACAGAUGGGGAGUUUGGCUGGGGCGGCACAUCUGUUAAAACAUAACGCAGGUGUCCUAAGCGGAGCUCAGUGAGGGCAGAAACCUCACGUAGAAAAUAAAGAGAAAUGCUCCGUUGACCCGCGCCCUCAGCACAGGCGCGGGCAUAGAAAUAUCGGCUUAACGAUCCUUUUGAGGUUCGUGCAUAACGCAAGAGGUGUCGGAAAAGUUACCACAGGGAUAACUGGCUCGUGGCGGCCAAGCGUCCACAGCGACGUCGCUUUUUGAUCCUUCGAUGUCGGCUCUUCCUAUCAUAGUGAAGCAG
Molecule: ribosomal RNA, 3393 nt
Filed under: Capra hircus (goat)
Lineage: Eukaryota; Metazoa; Chordata; Mammalia; Artiodactyla; Bovidae
Description: eukaryotic LSU rRNA
Rfam family: Eukaryotic large subunit ribosomal RNA
Source: RNAcentral